This 253-nucleotide ribosomal RNA is filed under the name uncultured bacterium. RNAcentral describes it as "partial 16S ribosomal RNA". It matches the Rfam family "Bacterial small subunit ribosomal RNA", at positions 524 to 776 of the family's 1533-position model. The record is from RNAcentral.
UACGUAGGGUGCGAGCGUUAAUCGGAAUUACUGGGCGUAAAGUGUGCGCAGGCGGCCGAGCAAGUCGAGUGUGAAAGCCCCGAGCUUAACUUGGGAACUGCGCCCGAAACUACUUGGCUAGAGUGUGGCAGAGGGAGGUGGAAUUCCACGUGUAGCGGUGAAAUGCGUAGAGAUGUGGAGGAACACCGAUGGCGAAGGCAGCCUCCUGGGCCAACACUGACGCUCAUGCACGAAAGCGUGGGGAGCAAACAGG